CCUACGGGAGGCAGCAGUGGGGAAUAUUGCACAAUGGGGGAAACCCUGAUGCAGCGACGCCGCGUGAGUGAAGAAGCGCCUCGGCGCGUAAAGCUCUGUCAGCAGGAACGACGAUGACGGUACCUGAAGAAGAAGCCCCGGCUAACUACGUGCCAGCAGCCGCGGUAAUACGUAGGGGGCAAGCGUUAUCCGGAUUUACUGGGUUUAAGGGGUGCGCAGGCGGUCUGUUAAGUCAGCGGUCAAAGCCCGGGGCUCAACCCCGGCCCGCCGUUGAAACUGGCAGUCUCGAGUUGGAGAGAAGUAGGCGGAAUGCGCGGUGUAGCGGUGAAAUGCAUAGAUAUCGCGCAGAACUCCGAUUGCGAAGGCAGCAUGCCGGCUCCACACUGACGCUGAGGCACGAAAGCGUGGGUAUCGAACAGGAUUAGAUACCCGGGUAGUC
This 439-nucleotide ribosomal RNA is filed under the name uncultured bacterium. RNAcentral's name for it is "partial 16S ribosomal RNA". It matches the Rfam family "Bacterial small subunit ribosomal RNA", at positions 338 to 795 of the family's 1533-position model. The record is from RNAcentral.